UUCACACUUCUCUUCCUUCUAGUCCGUGGGUCUGUCAUCCUCUUCCAUCGUGCCGUUCGACUGUUCCCUCGUCCGUGGUCUCACUUCAGUAUCUGAUCAAUCCCACUCUCUCACUCUCUACCUUUUCACUUGCUUGAUGGUUUCUCUUGCUCCCCACUUUUGUUCAAUCACAUAGAGGUUUCAGGUUGCAGGAGCUGCUUUCAUCUUUGAGGUGCAAAGUAGUUCUAGAUCAGAAGCAAGGAAGGAAGAAAUACGUAGACUGGAAAUACAAGUUGUCUUUGAGGCUUCCUCCUUGUUUUAUUUGGGCAGCAAAAGCAACCCUAUCAGUAUCAAGCCUUGUUGUCGGAAGUUUCGGAGAGAGCUGCCUAUGGAGGGUUUUGACUAGAGACUUGGCAGUAUGGGAUACUAAGUCCCAUAUUGAGUAGUAUGAGAUGCUCAAUGGGAUAUAUAAGUGGGAUGAUUCAAUGAUUUUCUUACUGCACAGUUGAAAAUGUCUGUGAGGCUUAUGAUCUCAUUGUUAGUACAAUACCAUGUUCUAUCUGACUUCAAAUUUUAUGGAGCUCAGAUGUUUGUAUAUGGCUUCAAGUAGCUUGAUUAACUAACUUAUCUUGUAUAUCAUUUCAGGUGAAACUCUAUCAGUGAAUUUGUAGACAGCAAGAGGGUGGAUCAAGAGUUGCAACAGUUGAGAUACUCAACCACAUUCAGCUUUUCUCGAAAUAUGGAUGGAUAGAAGAGUAGUGAUCGUGGCCAGAAAUGCACAUCGAGGCUUUGAAAGUUUAUAUAUAUAUAUAUAUAUAUAUAUUGAUGUCACUAGUUAUAAUGUAUUUUAAGAGUCUAAUCUUUUACUGGUACUUAAACAUUGUGUUUAAGGCCGAUAUAAGGACAUGAUCUUAUUGUAUGUUGAUAUUGUCAACAUUAAUAUUAUUGGAACUUUGGGGAUCAAAUUUUUGUUUGUGCAAUAUAUAUAU
Prosopis cineraria is the source of this 968-nucleotide long non-coding RNA. RefSeq lists it as uncharacterized. The record is from RefSeq and is a predicted model, not a curated record. The transcript has 5 exons. Lineage: Eukaryota; Viridiplantae; Streptophyta; Magnoliopsida; Fabales; Fabaceae.